AAGUAUGAAGUAAUAUAUUACAAUUAGUUUCGACCUAAUAAUUAGGGAAAUAUUUCUACCCCUUACUUA
Molecule: transfer RNA, 69 nt
Filed under: Ectatops sp.
Lineage: Eukaryota; Metazoa; Arthropoda; Insecta; Hemiptera; Pyrrhocoridae
Description: tRNA-Arg
Source: RNAcentral